This 253-nucleotide ribosomal RNA is filed under the name uncultured bacterium. RNAcentral's name for it is "partial 16S ribosomal RNA". It matches the Rfam family "Bacterial small subunit ribosomal RNA", at positions 524 to 776 of the family's 1533-position model. The record is from RNAcentral.
UACGUAGGGUGCGAGCGUUGUCCGGAAUUAUUGGGCGUAAAGAGCUCGUAGGCGGUUUGUCGCGUCGACUGUGAAAACCUACAGCUUAACUGUGGGCUUGCAGUCGAUACGGGCAGACUUGAGUUCGGUAGGGGAGACUGGAAUUCCUGGUGUGGCGGUGGAAUGCGCAGAUAUCAGGAGGAACACCGGUGGCGAAGGCGGGUCUCUGGGCCGAUACUGACACUGAGAAGCGAAAGCGUGGGGAGCGAACAGG